Molecule: long non-coding RNA, 451 nt
Organism: Mus pahari (shrew mouse)
Lineage: Eukaryota; Metazoa; Chordata; Mammalia; Rodentia; Muridae
Exons: 3
Source: RefSeq, a predicted model, not a curated record
AAUUGUCCCAGGAACAGUGACAGCCAAGAUACACAGCAAGCUCACGUAAGAGGAAUGACCUGAUUUUCUCCAGGCCUUUCUAAGAGCAGCAUUUGGAUAAUUGGCACACGGGACUAGGCCUGGCUUAUGCAAAUGAAUGUGUGACAUUCCAGUGUACCAAUCACUUGUCAGACUCACUUUCUGUUGUCAACUAUCUUCAGCAUUCACUUUGGCAACAACAUCUCGAUUUUAUGAAAAAUAAAAUAAACGUAAAACAUUAAGAUAAAAACACCUAAAAGUAUAUGGACUGGGAUUGACAUCUGAAAAGGAAAGCGUGGAAUGGAAAAACAGAGAGACAUGAAAACUGGAGGGCUGAAGAAGUCAAUACUGAAGGAGGAGGGGACAGGGACAAAUGGCAUCAAGAUUGUUUGAGAAGGAUUCAAGUAAUCAUAUUAAACAUCUACUAAAAACU